GAUGAACGCUGGCGGCGUGCCUAAUACAUGCAAGUCGAGCGAACAGACGAGGAGCUUGCUCCUCUGACGUUAGCGGCGGAAGGGUGAGUAACACGUGGAUAACCUCCAUAUAAGACUGGGAUAACUUCGGGAAACCGGAGCUAAUACCGGAUAAUAUAUUGAACCGCAUGGUUCAAUAGUGAAAGACGGUUUUGCUGUCACUUAUAGAUGGAUCCGCGCCGCAUUAGCCAGUUGGUAAGGUAACGGCUUACCAAGGCAACGAUGCGUAGCCGACCUGAGAGGGGUGACGGCCACACUGGAACUGAGGCACGGUCCAGACUCCUACGGGAGGCAGCAGUAGGGAAUCUUCCGCAAUGGGCGAAAGCCUGACGGAGCAACGCCGCGUGAGUGAUGAAGGUCUUCGGAUCGGAAAACUCUGUUAUUAGGGAAGAACAAAUGUGUAAGUAACUAUGCACGUCUUGACGGUACCUAAUCAGAAAGCCACGGCUAACUACGUG
This 497-nucleotide ribosomal RNA is filed under the name uncultured bacterium. RNAcentral describes it as "partial 16S ribosomal RNA". It matches the Rfam family "Bacterial small subunit ribosomal RNA", at positions 28 to 507 of the family's 1533-position model. The record is from RNAcentral.